Molecule: transfer RNA, 92 nt
Filed under: bacterium
Lineage: Bacteria
Description: tRNA-Ser
Rfam family: tRNA
About the family: Transfer RNA (tRNA) molecules are approximately 80 nucleotides in length. Their secondary structure includes four short double-helical elements and three loops (D, anti-codon, and T loops). Further hydrogen bonds mediate the characteristic L-shaped molecular structure. tRNAs have two regions of fundamental functional importance: the anti-codon, which is responsible for specific mRNA codon recognition, and the 3' end, to which the tRNAs corresponding amino acid is attached (by aminoacyl-tRNA synthetases). tRNAs cope with the degeneracy of the genetic code in two manners: having more than one tRNA (with a specific anti-codon) for a particular amino acid; and 'wobble' base-pairing, i.e. permitting non-standard base-pairing at the 3rd anti-codon position.
Source: RNAcentral
GGAGAGGUGCCAGAGCGGUCGAAUGGGACGGUUUCGAAAACCGUUGCGCUCGAUUUCGGGCGCCGUGGGUUCGAAUCCCACCCUCUCCGCCU